ACUGCUCAGUAACACGUGGAUAACAUGCCCUAAGGUGGGGGAUAAUCUCGGGAAACUGAGGAUAAUACCCCAUAGGUCUGAUCUGCUGGAAUGCUUUCAGGCCGAAAACUCCGGUGCCUUAGGAUUGGUCUGCGGUCUAUCAGGCUGUAGUGGGUGUAAUGGACCCACUAGCCCGUGACGGAUAUGGGCCUUGAGAGAGGGAGCCCAGAGAUGGACUCUGAGACAUGAGUCCAGGCCCUACGGGGCGCAGCAGUCGCGAAAACUUCGCAAUGGGGGCAACCCCGACGAGGGAAUUCCAAGUGCCAGCACUUUGUGUUGGCUGUUCUCCUGUCUAAAAAACAGGAGGAGUAAGGGGCGGGUAAGACGGGUGCCAGCCGCCGCGGUAAUACCCGCGCCCCUAGUGGUGGUCGAUAUUAUUGAGCCUAAAACGUCCGUAGCCGGUCUUCUAAAUCCUUGGGUAAAUCGGGCAGCUUAACUGUCCGAAGUCCGGGGAGACUGGGAGACUUGGGACCGGGAGAGGUCAGAGGUACUUCUGGGGUAGGGGUAAAAUCCUGUAAUCCUGGAAGGACCACCGGUGGCGAAGGCGUCUGACUAGAACGGAUCCGACGGUGAGGGACGAAGCCCUGGGGCGCAAACGGGAUUAGAUACCCCGGUAGUCCAGGGUGUAAACGCUGCGGGCUUGGUGUUGGGGGUCCUUAGUGGGCGCCCAGUGCCGGAGAGAAGUUGUUAAGCCUGCUGCUUGGGGAGUAUGUCCGCAAGGAUGAAACUUAAAGGAAUUGGCGGGGGAGCAC
This 791-nucleotide ribosomal RNA is filed under the name uncultured archaeon. RNAcentral's name for it is "bacterial SSU rRNA". It matches the Rfam family "Archaeal small subunit ribosomal RNA", at positions 85 to 879 of the family's 1478-position model. The record is from RNAcentral.